This 253-nucleotide ribosomal RNA is filed under the name uncultured bacterium. RNAcentral's name for it is "partial 16S ribosomal RNA". It matches the Rfam family "Bacterial small subunit ribosomal RNA", at positions 524 to 776 of the family's 1533-position model. The record is from RNAcentral.
UACGUAGGGUGCGAGCGUUGUCCGGAAUUACUGGGCGUAAAGAGCUCGUAGGCGGCUUGUCGCGUUGUUCGUGAAAAUUUACCGCUCAACGGUGAACUUGCGGGCGAUACGGGCAGGCUAGAGUACUGCAGGGGAGACUGGAAUUCCUGGUGUAGCGGUGAAAUGCGCAGAUAUCAGGAAGAACACCGGUGGCGAAGGCGGGUCUCUGGGCAGUAACUGACGCUGAGGAGCGAAAGCGUGGGGAGCGAACAGG